UUCGGGCAUACCAUCCCUUUUACCGAAUAUGCACGUCUCAUCAUAUACAAUAGGCAGAUAAACUUUCACAUAAAAGUGAGCUCAUGUGACAUAGAUAUAUCGUAUGAUUUCACAUAACCUCUCACACUGAUCCGAUGUCACAUAAUCAUAGGAAUAGUCUCAUAGAUUGCUCUCGUAUGCAUCACAUAACUACCUUAUGAUUUAGCGCAAAUCAGGCUCACAUAUAAACUUGGAGUACAUACCUGUUUAACCUUUCGCAUUGAGUAUAUUUAUAAGCAAUUCUUAUUACGAAGUCUUACCCGGACAUAAUCUCCACACGAAGUUAUCGGGUCUUACCCGGACAAAAUCCCCACACGUAGUCAUCGGGUCUUUAGAGCUCGGAUAUAGUACGAGCACGAAGCUUAUGGACAUUAAUCAGUGAUAAUAUUCUCGCAUAAAGCCUGCGGGGUUUUAACCCGGAUAUAGUACUGACACAAAUGCCGUUCGGGACUUAUCACAUUCAUCACAUCGGCACCCAUCACGUUGGCCACUCGGCCCUGUCACAUAUAUACACUUUCACAUUCAUCACAUCGGCCAUUAGGCCUUAUCACAUAUAUACACUUUCACAUUCAUCACAUCGGCCAUUAGGCCUUAUCACAUAUAUGCAUGUUCACAUCCAUCACAUAGAAUCCUAAAUCAAAAUAUAGAUUUUCAUGUAUUCACAUCACAAUUAUCCAAAUAUACUUCACAUACCACAUAUACUUUCACGUAUACAAACUGUCUUGGCUGAAUCUACAUCUAUCAUUUUCCAAUAUCACAAUUUAUAAUUCACGUAUGGGUUUAAUCAAUAGCUUAUGAGCAACUAAAACAAGUUUAUCAAGGUUUACAACACAAUCUCAAAUUCAGCACAAGCUGUUUUUCCUGAGCAAUAGUCACUAAAUUAUUUAUAACUGGAGCUAAAAAACUCCAAAUCACUUUCCGUUAAUUUUUCCUGAAUAUAAACUCGUAUAUCUUCCAUCCAUAAAAUUUCCAGAAUUUUAGGUUUGGCCAAUCAAUACCAGAUUUUUCUUAAAGUUUCCCCUGUUUCACUGUUUGACUAAUCUGACCACUCUUCACUACGAAUCAAAUUUCUCAUUUUACAGAAUUCAAAAUGUGUUGUAUUUGAUUUAAUUUGAAACUAUACUCAUUAAGGAGUCUAAGCAUAUAAAUUUUAUCUUAUAACCAUUUUUGUACAAUUUAUAAUGAUUUUCUAAAAACAGAACAGAGGAUUACAGCGUCAUUCUGCGCUGUCUCACACAACUUUAAGUAUCUCAUUGUCGGAAAUCCCUUUGCUUACACGGUUUCUUUUAUAAGAAACUAGACUCAUUAAGCUUUAAUUUCAUAAUUUAUUCAGCCUCCCAUUCAACUCCAAAAAUUUAUGGUGAUUUUCUAAAUUCAUGUUACUGCUGCUGUCCUGAGCAGGUUUAUCACAAUUUUACUCUUCUGACAUAUCCUUUUAGCACUUCAUAAUAUCAUAUCCAUUUGGCAACAUAUCAUAUCAAUAACUUACCUAUACUUCAUAAUAGCCAUUAGGCUAUAUGCAUAAAAAUUUACAAUAGAGUUAUGAUUCUUUUAAUAUGUGCUUAACAUAUCAUACUCAAUCACAUUAUAGGCUUUAAUACUUAAAACUUACAAAGGAAUCAAACUCAAAUACUUAAGAACUUACCUUGAAUUUGAUCGACUUAGUACAAAUCGGCUAUUCAACUACUUUCUCUUUUCCCCUAUCCGAAGUUGGUGUCCUUUGUUCUUGAGCUUAGAAAUUGGCCUCCAAAAGACCGAACAUUCCCAAAACACUUUCCCCUUUUUCUUUCUUUAGUUUCGGCUAGAACCCAAAAACAAUGAAGUCUCCACUCCUUCCCUAGCUCACGGCACUUCAAGAAAAGAAAGAAGAUGAAGACUUUAUCUUGCUUUCUUAUUUUAUUCCCCCUUUCUUUUCUUUUUUUGAUCUAUUUUAAUCAUUUACUAAUAAAAGCAUCAUUAAAAAUUCAACUUAAUGGAAGAACCAUCCUUGCUUGGCCGGCCACUACUUGAGGUUUGGGUGAUUUGACAUGCAAACCCAAGUUUCCUCACUUUGUUAUCAUUUGAUCCUUACAUAUUCCCCUAUCAUAUUUUCUUAGGUUCUCAACUAAGUCAAUCACAUGAAAUUCACCGUCAUAAGUCUAAAUUAAAACAUCAAAUUUUCACACAUGCACUAUGGUUUAAAUUCAUGAACAAUUACAUAAAAAUCACAUUAACAUACCUUUGAUUUAUGAACUAACCAUGGCCGAAUGCCUUGGCUUCUUCUUCUCCUUUUUUUUUCUUUCACUAGUUACGACAAUGGGGAAAAG
This 2345-nucleotide long non-coding RNA is filed under the name Gossypium barbadense (sea-island cotton). RNAcentral's name for it is "long non-coding RNA (GBAR_LNC014789)". Lineage: Eukaryota; Viridiplantae; Streptophyta; Magnoliopsida; Malvales; Malvaceae. The record is from RNAcentral.